RNAcentral lists this ribosomal RNA (240 nucleotides) under uncultured bacterium. Its description in RNAcentral is "partial 16S ribosomal RNA". It matches the Rfam family "Bacterial small subunit ribosomal RNA", at positions 105 to 334 of the family's 1533-position model. The record is from RNAcentral.
CCGGCACGGUGAGUAACACGUAUGCAAUCCACCUGUAACAGGGGAGUAACCCGGAGAAAUCCGGACUAAUACCCCAUAAUAUGGGCGCUCCGCAUGGAGAGCCCAUUAAAGAGAGCAAUUUUGGUUACAGACGAGCAUGCGCUCCAUUAGCCAGUUGGCGGGGUAACGGCCCACCAAAGCGACGAUGGAUAGGGGUUCUGAGAGGAAGGUCCCCCACAUUGGAACUGAGACACGGUCCAA